Molecule: ribosomal RNA, 734 nt
Filed under: uncultured Cellulosimicrobium sp.
Lineage: Bacteria; Bacillati; Actinomycetota; Actinomycetes; Micrococcales; Promicromonosporaceae
Description: bacterial SSU rRNA
Rfam family: Bacterial small subunit ribosomal RNA
Source: RNAcentral
GACGAACGCUGGCGGCGUGCUUAACACAUGCAAGUCGAACGAUGAUGCCCAGCUUGCUGGGCGGAUUAGUGGCGAACGGGUGAGUAACACGUGAGUAACCUGCCCUUGACUUCGGGAUAACUCCGGGAAACCGGGGCUAAUACCGGAUAUGAGCCGUCCUCGCAUGGGGGUGGUUGGAAAGUUUUUCGGUCAGGGAUGGGCUCGCGGCCUAUCAGCUUGUUGGUGGGGUGAUGGCCUACCAAGGCGACGACGGGUAGCCGGCCUGAGAGGGCGACCGGCCACACUGGGACUGAGACACGGCCCAGACUCCUACGGGAGGCAGCAGUGGGGAAUAUUGCACAAUGGGCGAAAGCCUGAUGCAGCGACGCCGCAUGAGGGAUGAAGGCCUUCGGGUUGUAAACCUCUUUCAGCAGGGAAGAAGCGCAAGUGACGGUACCUGCAGAAGAAGCGCCGGCUAACUACGUGCCAGCAGCCGCGGUAAUACGUAGGGCGCAAGCGUUGUCCGGAAUUAUUGGGCGUAAAGAGCUCGUAGGCGGUUUGUCGCGUCUGGUGUGAAAACUCGAGGCUCAACCUCGAGCUUGCAUCGGGUACGGGCAGACUAGAGUGCGGUAGGGGAGACUGGAAUUCCUGGUGUAGCGGUGGAAUGCGCAGAUAUCAGGAGGAACACCGAUGGCGAAGGCAGGUCUCUGGGCCGCAACUGACGCUGAGGAGCGAAAGCAUGGGGAGCGAACAGG